AUGAGCACCAACCACAAGAAUAUUGUGAGAUUAUUGGGCUAUUCAUACGAAGAACAUGAAGAAUCACAUGUGCACUAUGGGACAUCCAUAUGUGGUGUAUACAUACACAGGUUAAUCGGCUUUGAGUAUGUGCCUGGUGGAAAUCUUUGCAAUUUUAUUUCAGAUCAACGUCUUGGAUGGAGUAUACGCUUCAAAAUAAUAAAGGGGAUCUGCGAGGGUUUACAAUACCUUCAUGAAGCUGACAUUGUGCACUCUAAUCUCAACCCAGGUAAUAUUUUGCUAGAUGGUGAGAAGAUACCAAAAAUCACAGAUUUCGGUUUAUCUCGGAUGUUCAAGCCAGUAAACGAGAGAGCCACAAUGAGUAAAGCUAUUUCUUAUGGAUGGCGACGUAUGAUACAUGAAGGAGUGGUGUCAAAAAGGUCUGACAUAUUUAGCUUGGGUGCUCUAAUUAAAGUUAUAUUGACUGGAAGUACGGAAGAAUCGGACAUUAAUUGCAUGGACGGUCCUGAAUGUGUUGAGCAUGUACACAAAUGCUGGAGGAAACGGCUACAAGAGAUAAGGAGAUAUCCCUCAUUUGAAGCAGAUUGCAAACAAGUGAGGGCUUGUAUCGAAAUCGCAGUAGACUGCAUGCACAAUGACCAACAACAAAGGCCUCUGAUUAACGAUAUCGUUCGUAAACUAUAUGAAGUAGAAGCUAAGGGAGAUUACCCACCAUCACAGAUGGGACAGGGCAUUCAUGAUUUUGAAGUAAGGAAAAUGUCAUUAAAAGAGUUGGAAAAGAUCACGAGUAAUUUCUCUGAAAAACUUGGUCAUGAUGACUUCGGUGCUGUUUAUAAGGAAGGAUUGGAGGUGGGGAAGUGA
RNAcentral lists this ribosomal RNA (861 nucleotides) under Triticum aestivum (bread wheat). RNAcentral describes it as "partial small subunit ribosomal RNA". Lineage: Eukaryota; Viridiplantae; Streptophyta; Magnoliopsida; Poales; Poaceae. The record is from RNAcentral.